RNAcentral lists this ribosomal RNA (304 nucleotides) under uncultured bacterium. RNAcentral's name for it is "partial 16S ribosomal RNA". It matches the Rfam family "Bacterial small subunit ribosomal RNA", at positions 509 to 807 of the family's 1533-position model. The record is from RNAcentral.
CAGCAGUCGCCGCGGUAAUACGUAGGUGGCAAGCGUUGUCCGGAAUUAUUGGGCGUAAAGGGCUCGCAGGCGGUUUCUUAAGUCUGAUGUGAAAGCCCCCGGCUCAACCGGGGAGGGUCAUUGGAAACUGGGAAACUUGAGUGCAGAAGAGGAGAGUGGAAUUCCACGUGUAGCGGUGAAAUGCGUAGAGAUGUGGAGGAACACCAGUGGCGAAGGCGACUCUCUGGUCUGUAACUGACGCUGAGGAGCGGAAGCGUGGGGAGCGAACAGGAUUAGAUACCCCGGUAGUCCCUGUCUCUUAUAC